This 343-nucleotide long non-coding RNA is filed under the name Olea europaea subsp. europaea. Lineage: Eukaryota; Viridiplantae; Streptophyta; Magnoliopsida; Lamiales; Oleaceae. The record is from RNAcentral.
CUGGGUCGUACACAUAUAUAGUUGAGUCAGCAAAAACGAUCUCCAGCGUAACAUAGUGUUUAUUGAUGCACGCUGGAAUGUACAUAUGUGUACAACCCUCCCAUGAUUUUCCCGCGACACUCGGUGACAGUCCUAUCACCCACUCGAGCAUAUAUUCUGGCACCGUGUACUCGUUACCCAUAUGUGCGAGCGACUGAUACUCUACGGUAACGGCACCCAGGAACUCGGUGUUUAAUAUGACUCGACCAUGGACAUCAAAUGAUUUUGGAUGUCUUUGAGCUCGAUCUCGCAGCAAGUCCAUGGCCAGGUCGAUGUGCUGUAGCAGGAAACACCGAAAAAGUAU